UGUGCCAGCAGCCGCGGUAAUACGGAGGGUGCGAGCGUUAAUCGGAAUUACUGGGCGUAAAGCGCAUGCAGGUGGUUUGUUAAGUCAGAUGUGAAAGCCCGGGGCUCAACCUCGGAAGGUCAUUUGAAACUGGCAAACUAGAGUACUGUAGAGGGGGGUAGAAUUUCAGGUGUAGCGGUGAAAUGCGUAGAGAUCUGAAGGAAUACCAGUGGCGAAGGCGGCCCCCUGGACAGAUACUGACACUCAGAUGCGAAAGCGUGGGGA
RNAcentral lists this ribosomal RNA (264 nucleotides) under uncultured Vibrionales bacterium. Its description in RNAcentral is "partial 16S ribosomal RNA". It matches the Rfam family "Bacterial small subunit ribosomal RNA", at positions 504 to 767 of the family's 1533-position model. The record is from RNAcentral. Lineage: Bacteria; Pseudomonadati; Pseudomonadota; Gammaproteobacteria; Vibrionales.